RNAcentral lists this ribosomal RNA (1038 nucleotides) under Klebsiella pneumoniae. Its description in RNAcentral is "bacterial SSU rRNA". It matches the Rfam family "Bacterial small subunit ribosomal RNA", at positions 8 to 1037 of the family's 1533-position model. The record is from RNAcentral. Lineage: Bacteria; Pseudomonadati; Pseudomonadota; Gammaproteobacteria; Enterobacterales; Enterobacteriaceae.
AGAGUUUGAUCAUGGCUCAGAUUGAACGCUGGCGGCAGGCCUAACACAUGCAAGUCGAGCGGUAGCACAGAGAGCUUGCUCUCGGGUGACGAGCGGCGGACGGGUGAGUAAUGUCUGGGAAACUGCCUGAUGGAGGGGGAUAACUACUGGAAACGGUAGCUAAUACCGCAUAACGUCGCAAGACCAAAGUGGGGGACCUUCGGGCCUCAUGCCAUCAGAUGUGCCCAGAUGGGAUUAGCUAGUAGGUGGGGUAACGGCUCACCUAGGCGACGAUCCCUAGCUGGUCUGAGAGGAUGACCAGCCACACUGGAACUGAGACACGGUCCAGACUCCUACGGGAGGCAGCAGUGGGGAAUAUUGCACAAUGGGCGCAAGCCUGAUGCAGCCAUGCCGCGUGUGUGAAGAAGGCCUUCGGGUUGUAAAGCACUUUCAGCGGGGAGGAAGGCGGUGAGGUUAAUAACCUCAUCGAUUGACGUUACCCGCAGAAGAAGCACCGGCUAACUCCGUGCCAGCAGCCGCGGUAAUACGGAGGGUGCAAGCGUUAAUCGGAAUUACUGGGCGUAAAGCGCACGCAGGCGGUCUGUCAAGUCGGAUGUGAAAUCCCCGGGCUCAACCUGGGAACUGCAUUCGAAACUGGCAGGCUAGAGUCUUGUAGAGGGGGGUAGAAUUCCAGGUGUAGCGGUGAAAUGCGUAGAGAUCUGGAGGAAUACCGGUGGCGAAGGCGGCCCCCUGGACAAAGACUGACGCUCAGGUGCGAAAGCGUGGGGAGCAAACAGGAUUAGAUACCCUGGUAGUCCACGCCGUAAACGAUGUCGAUUUGGAGGUUGUGCCCUUGAGGCGUGGCUUCCGGAGCUAACGCGUUAAAUCGACCGCCUGGGGAGUACGGCCGCAAGGUUAAAACUCAAAUGAAUUGACGGGGGCCCGCACAAGCGGUGGAGCAUGUGGUUUAAUUCGAUGCAACGCGAAGAACCUUACCUGGUCUUGACAUCCACAGAACUUUCCAGAGAUGGAUUGGUGCCUUCGGGAACUGUGAGACAG